UACGGGAGGCAGCAGUGGGGAAUAUUGCACAAUGGGCGCAAGCCUGAUGCAGCCAUGCCGCGUGUAUGAAGAAGGCCUUCGGGUUGUAAAGUACUUUCAGUCGUGAGGAAGGUGUUAAGGUUAAUAACCUUAGCAAUUGACGUUAGCGACAGAAGGAGCACCGGCUAACUCCGUGCCAGCAGCCGCGGUAAUACGGAGGGUGCGAGCGUUAAUCGGAAUUACUGGGCGUAAAGGGCACGCAGGCGGUUAAUUAAGUUGGAUGUGAAAUCCCCGGGCUUAACCUGGGAAUGGCAUUCAAGACUGGUUAGCUAGAGUCUUGUAGAGGGGGUAGAAUUCCAUGUGUAGCGGUGAAAUGCGUAGAGAUGUGGAGGAAUACCGGGUGGCGAAGGCGGCCCCUGGGACAAAGACUGACGCUCAUGUGCGAAAGCGUGGGGAGCAAACAGGAUUAGAUACC
RNAcentral lists this ribosomal RNA (454 nucleotides) under uncultured bacterium. Its description in RNAcentral is "bacterial SSU rRNA". It matches the Rfam family "Bacterial small subunit ribosomal RNA", at positions 340 to 786 of the family's 1533-position model. The record is from RNAcentral.